RNAcentral lists this ribosomal RNA (482 nucleotides) under uncultured bacterium. RNAcentral's name for it is "partial 16S ribosomal RNA". It matches the Rfam family "Bacterial small subunit ribosomal RNA", at positions 30 to 507 of the family's 1533-position model. The record is from RNAcentral.
AUUGAACGCUGGCGGCAUGCUUUACACAUGCAAGUCGAACGGUAACAGGCCGCAAGGUGCUGACGAGUGGCGCACGGGUGAGUAAUGCAUCGGAACGUGCCCAGUCGUGGGGGAUAACUACUCGAAAGAGUAGCUAAUACCGCAUACGAUCUAUGGAUGAAAGCGGGGGACCGUAAGGCCUCGCGCGCUUGGAGCGGCCGAUGUCAGAUUAGGUAGUUGGUGGGGUAAAGGCUCACCAAGCCAACGAUCUGUAGCUGGUCUGAGAGGACAACCAGCCACACUGGGACUGAGACACGGCCCAGACUCCUACGGGAGGCAGCAGUGGGGAAUUUUGGACAAUGGGCGCAAGCCUGAUCCAGCAAUGCCGCGUGCAGGAAGAAGGCCUUCGGGUUGUAAACUGCUUUUGUACGGAACGAAACGGCUCUGGUUAAUACCCGGGGCUAAUGACGGUACCGUAAGAAUAAGCACCGGCUAACUACGUA